GUACUGAUGAGGAGUCCCAAAAUAGGACGAAACAGCUGUCCAGUAC
RNAcentral lists this non-coding RNA (46 nucleotides) under Trichobilharzia regenti. Lineage: Eukaryota; Metazoa; Platyhelminthes; Trematoda; Strigeidida; Schistosomatidae. The record is from RNAcentral.